This 76-nucleotide transfer RNA is filed under the name bacterium. Its description in RNAcentral is "tRNA-Ala". It matches the Rfam family "tRNA". From Rfam's summary of the family: Transfer RNA (tRNA) molecules are approximately 80 nucleotides in length. Their secondary structure includes four short double-helical elements and three loops (D, anti-codon, and T loops). RNAcentral also lists the same sequence under 4 other names. The record is from RNAcentral.
GGGGCUAUAGCUCAGUUGGGAGAGCGCGUCGUUCGCAAUGACGAGGUCGGCGGUUCGAUUCCGCCUAGCUCCACCA